CCUACGGGGGGCAGCAGUGGGGAAUCUUGCGCAAUGGGCGAAAGCCUGACGCAGCAACGCCGCGUGCGGGAAGAAGGCUUUCGGGCUGUAAACCGCUUUCAGUAGGAACGAAACUGACGGUACCUACAGAAGAAGGAGCGGCCAACUAUGUGCCAGCAGCCGCGGUGACACAUAGGCUCCAAGCGUUGUCCGGAUUUAUUGGGCGUAAAGAGCUCGUAGGCGGUCGAGUAAGUCGGGUGUGAAAACUCUGGGCUUAACCCAGAGGUGCCACUCGAUACUGCUGUGACUUGAGUUCGGUAGGGGAGCGGGGAAUUCCUUGUGUAGCGGUGAAAUGCGCAGAUAUGAGGAGGAACACCGGUGGCGAAGGCGCCGCUCUGGGCCGUAACUGACGCUGAGGAGCGAAAGCGUGGGUAGCAAACAGGAUUAGAUACCCGAGUAGUC
RNAcentral lists this ribosomal RNA (441 nucleotides) under uncultured bacterium. RNAcentral's name for it is "bacterial SSU rRNA". It matches the Rfam family "Bacterial small subunit ribosomal RNA", at positions 338 to 795 of the family's 1533-position model. The record is from RNAcentral.